Molecule: ribosomal RNA, 253 nt
Filed under: uncultured bacterium
Lineage: Bacteria
Description: partial 16S ribosomal RNA
Rfam family: Bacterial small subunit ribosomal RNA
Source: RNAcentral
UACGAAGGGGGCUAGCGUUGUUCGGAAUCACUGGGCGUAAAGCGCACGCAGGCGGAGCGAUAAGUCGGGGGUGAAAGCUCGGGGCUCAACCUCGGAAUUGCCUUCGAUACUGUCGGUCUCGAGGCCGGGAGAGGGGAGUGGAAUUCCUAGUGUAGAGGUGAAAUGCGUAGAUAUUGGGAAGAACACCAGUGGCGAAGGCGGCUCACUGGCCCGGUACUGACGCUCAGGUACGAAAGCGUGGGGAGCAAACAGG